Pezoporus occidentalis (night parrot) is the source of this 6140-nucleotide RNA transcript. It is a transcript of the gene named ecotropic viral integration site 5, with no coding region annotated. Lineage: Eukaryota; Metazoa; Chordata; Aves; Psittaciformes; Psittacidae. The transcript is spliced from 22 exons. The record is from RefSeq and is a predicted model, not a curated record.
GGUGCGGGACGUGUCCCGGCUGCCGGGGCCGAGCGGCCGGGGGCAGGGCGCAGCUCCGCGGGGCCGGCGGCGGAACACGCCGAUGCUCGCACCGAGCCGCCGCGGGCAACGCUUCCAAGUCUGAGCUGAUCCUGGAUCCUGCAGUGUUUCUGUACUGCAGAAAUGAGCUCUGUGGCGACAGACAAGGUUGCAGGAAAACUGAGCUCUACUCUCUCAUGGGUGAAGAACACUGUCUCGCACACCGUCAGUCAAAUGGCCAGUCAGGUGGCAAGUCCAUCUGCCUCAUUACACACUACAUCCUCCUCUACCACUCUGUCUACACCCGUGCUAUCACCAUCCUCACCAACACAGCUGAGUCCAGAUGACUUAGAAUUACUGGCUAAACUUGAGGAACAGAACAGACUCCUGGAAACAGAUAGCAAAUCUUUGCGAUCAGUAAAUGGGUCAAGAAGAAAUAGUGGAUCUUCUCUUGUAUCUAGUUCAUCAGCUUCUAGCAAUCUCAGCCAUCUUGAAGAAGACUCAUGGAUCCUCUGGGGGAGGAUUGUGAAUGAAUGGGAAGAUGUACGGAAAAAGAAAGAAAAGCAAGUUAAGGAGCUUGUUCGAAAAGGGAUACCUCAUCAUUUCAGAGCAAUCGUUUGGCAACUCUUAUGCAGUGCUCAAAGCAUGCCAAUUAAGGAUCAGUAUUCAGAGCUCUUGAAAAUGACAUCUCCUUGCGAGAAACUAAUAAGAAGGGACAUUGCUAGGACAUACCCUGAACAUGAUUUUUUUAAGGAAAAAGACAGCCUUGGGCAGGAGGUCUUGUUCAAUGUCAUGAAGGCUUAUUCUUUGGUGGAUCGCGAGGUUGGAUACUGUCAAGGAAGCGCCUUUAUAGUUGGAUUACUGCUUAUGCAGAUGCCAGAAGAAGAGGCAUUCUGUGUGUUUGUUAAAUUAAUGCAAGAUUACCGACUACGAGAACUCUUUAAACCAAGCAUGGCUGAACUGGGCCUUUGUAUGUACCAGUUUGAAUGCAUGAUACAGGAGCAUCUUCCAGAGCUUUAUGUGCAUUUUCAGUCUCAGAGUUUCCACACUUCUAUGUAUGCAUCGUCAUGGUUUUUAACUAUAUUCCUUACAACUUUUCCACUACCAAUUGCAACAAGAGUAUUUGAUAUCUUUAUGUCUGAGGGUUUAGAGAUAGUAUUUCGAGUAGGUUUAGCAGUACUUCAGAUGAAUCAAGCAGAGUUACUGCAACUUGACAUGGAAGGAAUGUUACAGCACUUUCAAAAGGUCAUUCCACAUCAGUUUGACAGCGGUCCAGACAAAUUAAUCCAAGCAUCUUACCAAGUCAAAUACAAUGCAAAAAAGAUGAAAAAGUUAGAAAAGGAAUACACUACAAUAAAGACAAAAGAAAUGGAAGAGCAAGUUGAAAUUAAAAGGCUACGAACUGAAAAUAGACUCUUGAAGCAGCGCAUUGAAACACUAGAAAAAGAAAGUGCUUCCUUGGCAGAUAGAUUGAUACAGGGACAAGUGACAAGGGCCCAGGAGGCUGAGGAAAACUACCUUGUAAAACGGGAGCUGGCCACCAUCAAACAGCAGAGUGAUGAGGCCAUUACUAAACUGGAGCAAGCUGAGAAUACCAUCAGGGAGCUCCAACAGCAGCAGCAAUGGCAUAAAUGCAGUUCACAAUACAGUGAAGACUUUGUGCUACAGCUGGAAAAAGAGUUGGUCCAAGCCAGGCUGAGUGAAGCAGAAUCCCAUUGUGCCUUGAAGGAGAUGCAAGAUAAAGUUCUAGAGAUGGAAAAGAGGAACAGCUCUCUCCCUGAUGAGGAAAACAUUGCUAGACUACAAGAAGAACUGAUUGCAGUAAAAUUAAGAGAAGCAGAAGCUCUGAUGGGUCUCAAAGAACUAAGGCAGCAAGUCAAAGAUUUGGAGGAACACUGGCAGAGUCAUCUGGCUCGUACCACUGGAAGAUGGAAAGAUCCUCCCAGAAAAAACACAGUGAAUGAGCUACAGGAUGAGCUGAUGACAGUCCGAUUGAGAGAAGCAGAAACUCAGGCUGAACUGAAAGAGACCAAACAAAGAAUGAUGGAGAUGGAAACACAGAAUCAGAUUAAUAGUAACCACUUAAGAAGGGCAGAGCAAGAGGUUACCAGCCUACAAGGGAAGGUACAGUAUCUUUCUGCACAGAACAAAGGACUUCUUGCUCAGUUGAAUGAAGCAAAACGUAGACAAGCAGAGAUUGAAUGCAAGAGUAAAGAAGAAGUGAUGGCAGUCCGGCUCCGUGAGGCAGACCGCAUUGCAGCUGUGGCUGAGCUCCAACAGCAUAUUGCUGAACUAGAAAUCCAGAAAGAAGAAGGAAAAAUUCAAGGGCAGCUUAAUAAAUCUGAUUCUAACCAGUACAUCAGAGAGCUGAAAGAUCAGAUAGCUGAGCUGCACCAUGAGUCAGCAUCAGGUAAGAAAGUUUAUUCUGGGGUUCAGGGAUCUGACUGUUAGCCAUUUUUCAGCUCUUCUGAAUUUGUGAAAGUACACUGUUAACCUUUUAAGAGUAUAUAAAAUUAAAAUCUUUUAAUAUGCUGACCAGUAGGACAGAUAGUUUGUCUUUAAAAUGCUGAAUUCUUUAGCUACAAGAAGGUAUAUAAAUUCAAACAUUAUUAUUGUUAAGAUUCUGUUCUUGACUCAGGUUGCUUUUGAAUUGGUAAUGAUAAACAUUUUGGUCAAAUAAUGUUAUCCUUUUAAAGACCACAUGCGCAUGCUGUAGUGAAAACUGGGUUGAAGCUGCAGUCAUUAUAGACAAUAUGACCUGAAUUUGAGAAUUAAAAGCAAACCACGUGGGCUUACCAGACCUAGGUUUUUUUACAGAUGUGAUCAGAUUUGUGAUUCUUGCAAAACCAAAGCAGUAAAAACAGCCAGGGUUCAUUUGAAUGUCACUUGGUGGAGUGACAGAUGUCUAGUUCCCUUCACAAGGGGAAAAAGAGGGCAAACCCAAAACUGAGAAGGCUUUAACUGAUAUUGGCUUUCUGUACAAAAGAGAACAAAAGUGAUAGACCCUGGGGUGUAAGUCCAUACUGUGCUCAACAUCGCUGCAAGGAAAAGGGCUGUGCUUUUUCCUGCAGGUGGAAUGAUAAGGAUACCAUAGAACUAGGGUUUGAGGAGGAGAGAAGUUGUGUUUGGAUUGGGUCUAUGUGUGCUCCCCUCACACCCCCGAGUCCUUAGUCAGAUUUCCCAUUAUCUUGAUAUCCUUGGCUACAUGAACAAGAUCUUGGCAUAAUACUUUACUUCCUACUAAGCUCUUUUUUCCAUGUUCAAAUAAAACACUGACAGCAAGAAUCUCAAGAAGUCCCUCUUUAAAAAGAUGCCAGAUGAACUUCACUGUGAAUUGGCAAAAUCUAAGGCAUACCUACACAAUUGGCAGUUAGAGAUCAGGAAAGAUCUUUUUGAAAGAGUUGUUGCUGAGAGUCCUCAGACAUCAUUGCUUAGAAUGCAGCAGCAGUGAAAACAGACAAGACAAUGUUGGACUUCAACAGGAAGUGUAUUAGAAACAAAAUAAAAUGUUUUAUAGUGCUACUACAAAACCUUGGAUGUAGAGAGUGUAAAAAAGGUCUGUAGGGAAGUUAAAGGGCAACUAAAAUGAUUAGUCAUCUUGAGUACUGCCUGCUCAUGACACUAAAAAGGCUUAGGAAUUAUCUGUUUUAGAGAGCAGGCUGAGGGAGGCAUUAUGACAUAAGUUAAAGAAUUGUGGCUGCAGAACCGCAUUUCAAUGCUUGUUCCUGCACUUCUAGAAUUUGGGAGCAAUUCCUGAAACAGGGAGAUUAGUUUAAAACAAAUAAAGGAAUUUCUGGAACUUACUGUCACAGGAAGCUGUAGAGAUAGACAGUAAAAAAAAAAAAUUAAAUCAGUCAUGGACAGCUGGUCUAUAAAUGGAUGCUGAAGCACCUAGGAAGAAAUACACUCUCAUGUCUGCUACAACAGUUUCUGGACAAGUGAGGGGCGGCUUGGCAGUAUGAAGGGAAUGGAUUGCAAAAACUGGUCAUAUUCACAUGCUUUCCCUUAAAAACAAAACCACGUGAAAGUCUUGUUGUCACUGUUGGAAACAGAACAUUAGGCUGAUGGACCAUUGCCCUGAGCCAGUAGAACACGUAUGUUCCCAUCUUUAAAAAAGAUACUGCUUUUUGUAUUAGAAAUGCAGAGGCUCACUUGCUAGGCUGUAAGCUAUGUAGAGUACAAAAUUUUCAUUUUAAGAAACCUCUGGUUUUAGAUCCUUACACUGGUAUAAGCCACUGGUAUCUAAUUGCAUUGGAGCGCAUGCUGUCUAGUAGUUCCAAAUGCUUUGAGAAGCCUUACAAAGCCUUUCUGCUGCAACAGAAAUUGCAGAUUAUCAGGCUCCUUCAGAAAUGCUCCUGAAUAGAUAUUAGAUUGACAUGCCCCUGAAGUAUCUUCAACACUGAAACUACACAAAACUGAAAAUAGUGUACAGCUGACCCCAGUCUAUUCUGUUGGAUCAUUUUAAUUUCUUGGAGAUUAGCUGCUUACAUCAAUAUUCAUGUAUAAAAACAAAAAUUAAGGUGCAAAUCAGAUUCUACCUUCAAUUGAAGAACUUAAAUAUUUUCAAGAUUAAAGUGACAAAUUUAUAACUGUAAAAUAAAAAUAACAUUCUUUUGAAGACUAGGUUUUGUGAUAAAUUUGUGUCCUGAUAUUUAAUGUAAUUUAAUGCGUUUGGAUUCAAAUGACAGCACUUAGAUUUUUAAGAAGUGCAGUGAUUUUGGCAGGUACAGAAUUGCAGAUCAUCAGGCUCCUUCAGAAAUGCUCCUGAAUUUCAGUUUCUCAAACUGAAAAUGGCUGUUAUUAGAACAGGAACAUGCAUCCCACUGCCUAUGCUUUUCACACAUCUCACUGAAAUGCAGACUAUCUUUUAAGUUGGAAGGGAUCCUGGGAGGCCUUUAGACUAGCUGCCUGCUUAAAACAGGACCAACGCUGAACUUAAAAUAGGGAUUAAGGCUUUGUCAGUUGGGUGUUGAAACCCACUGAGGAUGGAGAGCAUACAAUCUCUAAACAACCUGUUCCGUUUCCUAACUAGCCUUGUAGCAACUCUUUUUCUUUCAUAUUCAAACACAGUCUUGUAUUUUGCAUUACGAUUAAUGUCUCUUCUCCCACCAUACAAUUCAGUGAAGAACCAGUUCUCUGUUACCUCAAGGUGCUCCUGCCUUAAGAUAGGAGUUAAGGAGUUAAAGGCUUCUACCCCUUAACUGUGUUGUUACCUCUCCACUGAAUCUACUAAUGAAUAUCUUGUACUGAGGAAGGAGUGAGGUAGCAAGUGCAGAAUAGCACAGAUGCCAGAUAAGAAUCGGUUCCCAUGAUGUACUGGCUAUGCCCUUGUCAUUACAGCCUAGUAUGCAGUUAUUUUUCCUCCCUGCUCAGGGACACUGCUGAUUUGUGUUUAGCUUUGUGUGUCAGGACCUCUUCAGCAGUGUUGCUUUCCAGCCUGUCUGUCCCCAUAAUACAGACAAAUUCUAUGCUACAGUGUUUGUGCUCCUGGCUGAGAUGAAUGUUUUUUAAGUAGUAGUGGAAGUUAAUGAUAUAUGACCACCAAUAGACUUGUCGGACAUAUUCUCUACAGUACAUUCAUGUUUCUCUCUAGCAGUCUGGCUCACCUUGAUUCUGAGGAGUGCUUGAGAAAAAGGGCAGGCAAGUGUGAAGCUGCAGGUCAAAAGAAGUGUUCCUGGAAGGUCACAGACUGUGCAUCCUUUCAUUAGAAUAACAAAAGAUAGCAACACACUGUUUUCCCAGACUCACUUUAAGAAUUGGCAAAGACUGUCUAUUCAUGAUUGUUUCACCAACAUCAUUUUCCACAGACUCUCAUUUGGUGUUUGGAAAGGCUACUACCUAAAACCAUGAAGCUAUGAUUUUGUUAUGUUACGUAAACACACUCAUCUAAAGGUAUUGUGUUGAAGACUUCAGGAAAACAGUUGAGGUCAUUGGCUUGGCUUUCUGAAGGUUCAAAACAACUAACAUUGACUAUCAGCUUUAUAAUUGCAGAUCAAAUGUCUCAAAGGCCAGAGAGACUUCUCAGACCAACCCACUUUUGAUGGGAUUCACAUUGUCAACCAUUUCACAGGAGAUGAUGAAUCAUUUCAUUCUUCUGAUGAAGAUUUUAUAACUAACUCCAU